CUUUACUUUUGGAAAACAUACAAACUUUAUGCUCAGUUCUUGAGACUGGGGAGAAUGGAGCAGAUAAUUUGAGUUUUUAAAAAUAUUUUUCUCUUUAUAAUCUGAUAAUCCAGCUACAAGAUUCCUUUGAUAGUUAAUAGUUGCUCACACAACUUUUGCCUUGUAACUUUUUUGUGAUUUUCAAAUGCCUGAAGUAUAAAUGAUACUUUCAAAGAUUCACCUCUUGGCCCUAAAUUUGAAAACAGACAAGGAUAUAUAUAUAUAUAUAAAUGUUUUUUAAAACUCUUAUUCACACCACUUUGCAAUGUUCUAAAAGUAAUGUAUGGCUAUAC
This is a long non-coding RNA of Sapajus apella (tufted capuchin), 332 nucleotides long. RefSeq lists it as uncharacterized. The record is from RefSeq and is a predicted model, not a curated record. The transcript is spliced from 2 exons. Lineage: Eukaryota; Metazoa; Chordata; Mammalia; Primates; Cebidae.